Molecule: long non-coding RNA, 430 nt
Organism: Arvicola amphibius (Eurasian water vole)
Lineage: Eukaryota; Metazoa; Chordata; Mammalia; Rodentia; Cricetidae
Exons: 3
Source: RefSeq, a predicted model, not a curated record
CGAACGCGCUUGGGGGCGCGCGUGCCGUGCACGCGCAGGGCCGCCCGGAGGGCCCGGAGGGAGCUGCAAGGCGCCUCAGUGGCUCCCACAGGACGCAGGUCCUGUCUGCAGCCGCCAAGGUCAAGGGCUGUGGUUUGAGACUGCUUGCAGCUGCUUCCUGUCCCCCACUGCGCUGAGGGACAGAUGUUAAAAAACUGCUCUCAAUUUGAUUAUUUCCUGCCAUCUAAUCCUCCUUGGACCUGUCCAGUGGUGACCAUGUAAGAGCCAUGUGAGAACCAUGUGAAAGCCAUAUGAAGACCAUGUGCAGAUCACAUGAAGGCCACGUGAAGAUCAUGUGAAAACAACGUGAAGGCCACAAUCUCUUGUUCAUGGACACCUGCAGUUUAUCCAAAGUCAUUUAUCAUUAUUUUCUCAAUAAUAAACCCUUUUU